GUAAGGAAUAUUGGUCAAUGGGGGGAACCCUGAACCAGCCAUGCCGCGUGCAGGACGAAGGCCCUACGGGUCGUAAACUGCUUUUGCGCGGGAACAAACCUCCGGUCGUGACCGGAGCUGAGCGUACCGCGAGAAUAAGGAUCGGCUAACUCCGUGCCAGCAGCCGCGGUAAUACGGAGGAUCCGAGCGUUAUCCGGAUUUAUUGGGUUUAAAGGGUUCGUAGGCGGCGCGUUAAGUCAGGGGUGAAAUACGGCAGAUCAACUGUCGCAGUGCCCUUGAUACUGAUGCGCUUGAAUGCCGCUGGAGGCGGCGGAAUGGGACAAGUAGCGGUGAAAUGCAUAGAUAUGUCCCAGAACCCCGAUCGCGAAGGCAGCUGUCUAAGCGGCGAUUGACGCUGAUGCACGAAAGCGUGGGGAUCGAACAGGAUUAGAUACCCGUGUAGUCC
Molecule: ribosomal RNA, 445 nt
Filed under: uncultured bacterium
Lineage: Bacteria
Description: partial 16S ribosomal RNA
Rfam family: Bacterial small subunit ribosomal RNA
Source: RNAcentral